RNAcentral lists this long non-coding RNA (615 nucleotides) under Homo sapiens (human). RNAcentral describes it as "non-protein coding lnc-USP48-7:1". The record is from RNAcentral. Lineage: Eukaryota; Metazoa; Chordata; Mammalia; Primates; Hominidae.
AGGAUGCAUUGGAGUUCGCCUGAGAAACAAAGAGAGGAAGGGCAUUCCAGCAGAGGGCCCGGCGUGAGAGAUAUGGACUGUGGGAGCAGUAGGGGUGGGGAGGGAAGGGGGCCUGGCUGGCUCUUUGUUUUUUUCUCCUCCUUGGCCUUUGCUCUGGCUUGGAGUGGAGCUUAUCCUGGGCUCGGCAGCAGCCUGAGGUCACGUGGAGUUGACACCACGCCUGUCCCCAUUCAGCCCAGAUACUGAGCUCUGCCUCCGCGCUGCUGGGCCCAGGGAUGAGCCUGUCAGUGUGGCUGCAUGUGCCAAAGCUAAUUCUCCAACACAGUGGAAUGUGUUCCCUGCAGCCUGGAGACGGGCAGGCCAGAGUGAGGCAGGAAGAGGAGCCAAAUGGCCUGGGGAGGAGCUGCCUGGGGAGGCAACGGCUUUGAGCAGCUCGCCCUUGACUUCUGCCUGUGUCCCCACCCAUGCUGACCCUGGCCAGCCUUCCACCUGCCUGUGCCCCCCAUCUGCGCUGCCCGAGGCCACCCCUUUACCCGCCCGCAUCCCCCCAUCCACUCACUCAUGUCCUGGGUGUCCCUUGCCUUCUCCAAAGGAAAAGGAGUCUUUACUUACCAA